CAACAAUUCUGCAUCCAUAACAAUGAUUUUUCGGGGGGGGUUGUGUUUCUUCUCCAACAGAUGAAAGUGAUGAAUCAUCCUCAUCAUCCGAGGAGGAGAUUUCCUCAGAAGCAUGUCCUACACUGGUGACGGCAGAGGAGGAAGAUGAGCCUGAAAAUGAAGGUAGGAAUCUAUCAUGUUCUCUUUUGUUAAAAUUCCACAUUGAUUUGGAAAUAAUCUGCAGACACUUGUAUCUUUUUGCUUUCUAGAACAAUGUGGGGGAUAAUCUAGGCCUUGACAACAAUUCUGCAUCCAUAACAAUGAUUUUUCGGGGGGGGUUGUGUUUCUUCUCCAACAGAUGAAAGUGAUGAAUCAUCCUCAUCAUCCGAGGAGGAGAUUUCCUCAGAAGCAUGUCCUACACUGGUGACGGCAGAGGAGGAAGAUGAGCCUGAAAAUGAAGGUAGGAAUCUAUCAUGUUCUCUUUUGUUAAAAUUCCACAUUGAUUUGGAAAUAAUCUGCAGACACUUGUAUCUUUUUGCUUUCUAGAACAAUGUGGGGGAUAAUCUAGGCCUUGACAACAAUUCUGCAUCCAUAACAAUGAUUUUUCGGGGGGGGUUGUGUUUCUUCUCCAACAGAUGAAAGUGAUGAAUCAUCCUCAUCAUCCGAGGAGGAGAUUUCCUCAGAAGCAUGUCCUACACUGGUGACGGCAGAGGAGGAAGAUGAGCCUGAAAAUGAAGGUAGGAAUCUAUCAUGUUCUCUUUUGUUAAAAUUCCACAUUGAUUUGGAAAUAAUCUGCAGACACUUGUAUCUUUUUGCUUUCUAGAACAAUGUGGGGGAUAAUCUAGGCCUUGACAACAAUUCUGCAUCCAUAACAAUGAUUUUUCGGGGGGGGUUGUGUUUCUUCUCCAACAGAUGAAAGUGAUGAAUCAUCCUCAUCAUCCGAGGAGGAGAUUUCCUCAGAAGCAUGUCCUACACUGGUGACGGCAGAGGAGGAAGAUGAGCCUGAAAAUGAAGGUAGGAAUCUAUCAUGUUCUCUUUUGUUAAAAUUCCACAUUGAUUUGGAAAUAAUCUGCAGACACUUGUAUCUUUUUGCUUUCUAGAACAAUGUGGGGGAUAAUCUAGGCCUUGACAACAAUUCUGCAUCCAUAACAAUGAUUUUUCGGGGGGGGUUGUGUUUCUUCUCCAACAGAUGAAAGUGAUGAAUCAUCCUCAUCAUCCGAGGAGGAGAUUUCCUCAGAAGCAUGUCCUACACUGGUGACGGCAGAGGAGGAAGAUGAGCCUGAAAAUGAAGGUAGGAAUCUAUCAUGUUCUCUUUUGUUAAAAUUCCACAUUGAUUUGGAAAUAAUCUGCAGACACUUGUAUCUUUUUGCUUUCUAGAACAAUGUGGGGGAUAAUCUAGGCCUUGACAACAAUUCUGCAUCCAUAACAAUGAUUUUUCGGGGGGGGUUGUGUUUCUUCUCCAACAGAUGAAAGUGAUGAAUCAUCCUCAUCAUCCGAGGAGGAGAUUUCCUCAGAAGCAUGUCCUACACUGGUGACGGCAGAGGAGGAAGAUGAGCCUGAAAAUGAAGAUGACAGUGAUGCAUAUGCUACAUCAGCCCUAAGUCCGGAGGAGAGACAAGAGGAGGAGGCGGAAAGUGAAUCUGAAACAGACAGUGGCACUGAAUAUGCAGCCACAGCAGAGGAUGAGGUGGAAAAAAAAGAAACGGUUGAAAUAGGGACACAAACAGAGCCCUCAGUUACACAAUUCAGGGACCUUCGUCAGGCACUGCGAAAUUUUGUAGAGGCUGCAAGAGUACUAGAGCAUUCACUUCAAAAUCUUUAAGAAAUUCAUUGUAUAUAUUUUUCUUUGUUUUACAACAAUCAUUUUAUGAAUAAUUAAAAAUUUAUAUUUAUAA
This is a long non-coding RNA of Bombina bombina (fire-bellied toad), 1874 nucleotides long. RefSeq lists it as uncharacterized. The record is from RefSeq and is a predicted model, not a curated record. The transcript has 4 exons. Lineage: Eukaryota; Metazoa; Chordata; Amphibia; Anura; Bombinatoridae.